This 933-nucleotide ribosomal RNA is filed under the name Mallocybe heimii. Its description in RNAcentral is "partial large subunit ribosomal RNA". It matches the Rfam family "Eukaryotic large subunit ribosomal RNA", at positions 53 to 964 of the family's 3401-position model. The record is from RNAcentral. Lineage: Eukaryota; Fungi; Basidiomycota; Agaricomycetes; Agaricales; Inocybaceae.
GAGGAAAAGAAACUAACAAGGAUUCCCCUAGUAACUGCGAGUGAAGCGGGAAAAGCUCAAAUUUAAAAUCUGACAGUUGUUUUGGCUGUCCGAGUUGUAAUCUAGAGAAGUGUCUACCCGCGCUGGACCGUGUACAAGUCUCCUGGAAUGGAGCAUCAUAGAGGGUGAGAAUCCCGUCUUUGACAUGGAUCUACCAGGGCUUUGUGGUGCACUCUCAAAGAGUCGAGUUGUUUGGGAAUGCAGCUCAAAAUGGGUGGUAAAUGCCAUCUAAAGCUAAAUAUUGGCGAGAGACCGAUAGCGAACAAGUACCGUGAGGGAAAGAUGAAAAGAACUUUGGAAAGAGAGUUAAACAGUACGUGAAAUUGCUGAAAGGGAAACGCUUGAAGUCAGUCGCAUCGACUGGAAAUCAACCUUGCUUUUGCAUGGUGUACUUUCUGGCUGAUGGGUCAGCAUCAAUUUUGAUUGCUGGAUAAAGGCUUGGGGAAUGUGGCAUCUUCGGAUGUGUUAUAGCCCCUGGCUGCAUACGGCAGUUGGGAUUGAGGAACUCAGCAUGCCGCAAGGCUGGGUCUUUUUGACCACGUAUAUGUGCUUAGGAUGCUGGCAUAAUGGCUUUAAUCGACCCGUCUUGAAACACGGACCAAGGAGUCUAACAUGCAUGCGAGUGUUUGGGUGGAAAACCCAUGCGCGCAAUGAAAGUGAAAGUUGAGAUCCCUGUUGUGGGGAGCAUCGACGCCCAGACCAGACCUUUUGUGACGGAUCUGCGGUAGAGCAUGUAUGUUGGGACCCGAAAGAUGGUGAACUAUGCCUGAAUAGGGUGAAGCCAGAGGAAACUCUGGUGGAGGCUCGUAGCGAUUCUGACGUGCAAAUCGAUCGUCAAAUUUGGGUAUAGGGGCGAAAGACUAAUCGAACCAUCUAGUAGCUGGUUCCUGCCGA